GCUCAUAGCAAUAUGGGAGCGGCGAACGGCGUAGUAAUUCAUAGGAACGUACCCUCAGGUCGGGGAUAGCUACGGGAAACUGUAGGUAAUACCCGAUGAUCUCUGCGGAACAAAGGUGUGAUUCCGCCUGAGGAGCGGCUUAUGCGAUAUUAGCUAGUUGGCGGGGUAAUGGCCUACCAAGGCUACGAUGUCUAGGGGGUGUGAGAGCAUGGCCCCCACGACCGGAACUGAGAUACUGUCCGGACACCUACGGGUGGCUGCAGUCGAGAAUCUUCCGCAAUGGACGAAAGUCUGACGAAGCGACGCCGCGUGCGGGAUGAAGGCCCUUGGGUUGUAAACCGCUGUCAGAGGGGACGAAAUCUUCGGAGGUCCUCCUCCGAAGUUGACAGAGCCUCAAAGGAAGCACGGGCUAAGUACGUGCCAGCAGCCGCGGUAACACGUACUGUGCGAACGUUAUUCGGAAUCACUGGGCUUAAAGGGUGCGUAGGCGGCAAUUCAAGUCAGGUGUGAAAUGCCUGAGCUCAACUGAGGCAUUGCGCUUGAAACUGAACUGCUAGAGUAUCCCAGGGGUGUGCGGAACUGCCAGUGGAGCGGUGAAAUGUGUUGAUAUUGGCAGGAACACCGGAGGCGAAAGCGGCACACUGGGGGAUAACUGACGCUGAGGCACGAAAGCCAGGGGAGCGAACGGGAUUAGAUACCCCGGUAGUCCUGGCCGUAAACGAUGAGCACUGGGCGGGAGGGGGUUUCCCUUUUCUGCCGUAGCGAAAGCGUUAAGUGCUCCGCCUGGGGAGUAUGGUCGCA
Molecule: ribosomal RNA, 801 nt
Filed under: uncultured bacterium
Lineage: Bacteria
Description: bacterial SSU rRNA
Rfam family: Bacterial small subunit ribosomal RNA
Source: RNAcentral